RNAcentral lists this ribosomal RNA (495 nucleotides) under uncultured bacterium. RNAcentral describes it as "partial 16S ribosomal RNA". It matches the Rfam family "Bacterial small subunit ribosomal RNA", at positions 29 to 506 of the family's 1533-position model. The record is from RNAcentral.
AUGAACGCUGGCGGCGUGCCUCAUCCAUGCCAGUCGCGCGAACAGACGAGGAGCUUGCUCCUCUGACGUUAGCGGCGGACGGGUGAGUAACACGUGGAUAACCUACCUAUAAGACUGGGAUAACUUCGGGAAACCGGAGCUAAUACCGGAUAAUAUAUUGAACCGCAUGGUUCAAUAGUGAAAGACGGUUUUGCUGUCACUUAUAGAUGGAUCCGCGCCGCAUUAGCUAGUUGGUAAGGUAACGGCUUACCAAGGCAACGAUGCGUAGCCGACCUGAGAGGGUGAUCGGCCACACUGGAACUGAGGCACGGUCCAGACUCCUACGGGAGGCAGCAGUAGGGAAUCUUCCGCAAUGGGCGAAAGCCUGACGGAGCAACGCCGCGUGAGUGAUGAAGGUCUUCGGAUCGUAAAACUCUGUUAUUAGGGAAGAACAAAUGUGUAAGUAACUAUGCACGUCUUGACGGUACCUAAUCAGAAAGCCACGGCUAACUACGU